Molecule: unclassified non-coding RNA, 314 nt
Filed under: plant metagenome
Description: partial contains 5.8S ribosomal RNA, internal transcribed spacer 2, and large subunit ribosomal RNA
Rfam family: 5.8S ribosomal RNA (bases 1-105)
Source: RNAcentral
GAAAUGCGAUAAUUAAUGUGAAUUGCAGAAUUCAGUGAAUCAUCGAGUCUUUGAACGCACAUUGCGCCCCCUGGUAUUCCGGGGGGCAUGCCUGUCCGAGCGUCAUUGCUGCCCUCAAGCACGGCUUGUGUGUUGGGCUUCCGUCCCUGGCAACGGGGACGGGCCCAAAAGGCAGUGGCGGCACCAUGUCUGGUCCUCGAGCGUAUGGGGCUUAGUCACCCGCUCCCGUAGGUCCAGCUGGCAGCUAGCCUCGCAACCAAUCUUUUUAACCAGGUUGACCUCGGAUCAGGUAGGGAUACCCGCUGAACUUAAGC